AACGAACGCUGGCGGCAUGCCUAACACAUGCAAGUCGAACGAGACCUUCGGGUCUAGUGGCGCACGGGUGCGUAACGCGUGGGAACCUGCCCUUAGGUUCGGAAUAACUCCCCGAAAGGGGUGCUAAUACCGGAUAAUGUCUUCGGACCAAAGAUUUAUCGCCUUUGGAUGGGCCCGCGUUGGAUUAGCUAGUUGGUAGGGUAAAAGCCUACCAAGGCGACGAUCCAUAGCUGGUCUGAGAGGAUGAUCAGCCACACUGGGACUGAGACACGGCCCAGACUCCUACGGGAGGCAGCAGUGGGGAAUAUUGGACAAUGGGCGAAAGCCUGAUCCAGCAAUGCCGCGUGAGUGAUGAAGGGCUUAGGGUUGUAAAGCUCUUUUACCCGGGAUGAUAAUGACAGUACCGGGAGAAUAAGCGCCGGCUAACUCCGUG
Molecule: ribosomal RNA, 433 nt
Filed under: uncultured bacterium
Lineage: Bacteria
Description: partial 16S ribosomal RNA
Rfam family: Bacterial small subunit ribosomal RNA
Source: RNAcentral